RNAcentral lists this long non-coding RNA (220 nucleotides) under Prunus persica (peach). RNAcentral describes it as "long non-coding RNA (PPER_LNC001732)". Lineage: Eukaryota; Viridiplantae; Streptophyta; Magnoliopsida; Rosales; Rosaceae. The record is from RNAcentral.
CGAAUGGCAGUCCAGGCGAUUUUCGAAGUGUCUCUCGGCACACGAGGCGAUUUCCGGAGAGAGUGAACGGCAAUCUAGGCGACUUUCACAGCACUCAAGGUAAGAUACCGUUCGGUACCCCUCUAAAUUUUUUUUAUUAUACGUCUGUCCAUGGCAUAGGCUAGCCGAUCGUUAAGUAGGAUCUUCCUUCGGUAGUCUAGUGGCCAUAGGUAGAGAUGUA